This 496-nucleotide ribosomal RNA is filed under the name uncultured bacterium. RNAcentral's name for it is "bacterial SSU rRNA". It matches the Rfam family "Bacterial small subunit ribosomal RNA", at positions 28 to 523 of the family's 1533-position model. The record is from RNAcentral.
GAUGAACGCUAGCGAGAGGCCUAACACAUGCAAGCCGAGCGGUAGAGGUUCUUCGGAAUCUUGAGAGCGGCGUACGGGUGCGGAACACGUGUGCAACCUGCCUUUAUCAGGGGGAUAGCCUUUCGAAAGGAAGAUUAAUACCCCAUAAUAUAUUGAAUGGCAUCAUUUGAUAUUGAAAACUCCGGUGGAUAGAGAUGGGGCACGCGCAAGAUUAGAUAGUUGGUGAGGUAACGGCUCACCAAGUCUACGAUCUUUAGGGGGCCUGAGAGGGUGAUCCCCCACACUGGUACUGAGACACGGACCAGACUCCUACGGGAGGCAGCAGUGAGGAAUAUUGGACAAUGGGUGAGAGCCUGAUCCAGCCAUCCCGCGUGAAGGACGACGGCCCUAUGGGUUGUAAACUUCUUUUGUAUAGGGAUAAACCUAGAUACGUGUAUCUAGCUGAAGGUACUAUACGAAUAAGCACCGGCUAACUCCGUGCCAGCAGCCGCGGUAA